GCCCUCGUGGUGUAGUGGUCAGCACGAUGGGCCGGUAUUCCAGAGGUCCGUGGUUCGAGUCCCGGCGAAAGUG
Non-coding RNA from Stegodyphus mimosarum, 73 nucleotides. The record is from Rfam. NCBI's taxonomy places the organism in Eukaryota, Metazoa, Arthropoda, Arachnida, Araneae, Eresidae.